RNAcentral lists this ribosomal RNA (447 nucleotides) under uncultured bacterium. RNAcentral's name for it is "partial 16S ribosomal RNA". It matches the Rfam family "Bacterial small subunit ribosomal RNA", at positions 29 to 523 of the family's 1533-position model. The record is from RNAcentral.
AGCGAACGCUGGCGGCAGGCUUAACACAUGCAAGUCGAACGGUCCUUUGGGACAGUGGCGGACGGGUGAGUAACACGAGGGAACGUACCCUUAGGUUCGGAACAACACAGGGAAACUUGUGCUAAUACCGGAUAAGCCCUUCGGGGGAAAGAUUUAUCGCCUUUGGAGCGGCCCGCGUCUGAUUAGCUUGUUGGUGAGGUAAUGGCUCACCAAGGCUACGAUCAGUAGCUGGUCUGAGUGGAUGGCCAGCCACACUAGGACUGAGACACGGCCCAGACUCCUACGGGAGGCAGCAGUGGGGAAUCUUGCGCAAUGGGCGAAAGCCUGACGCAGCCAUGCCGCGUGGAUGAUGAAGGUCUUAGGAUUGUAAAAUCCUUUCACCGGGGACGAUAAUGACGGUACCCGGAGAAGAAGCCCCGGCUAACUUCGUGCCAGCCGCCGCGGUAA